GACCGCCAUCAUUUACUCCCCCUUAUUUUAGUAGGCGCCAGUCUUCUUCAUCUGGCCGCAUUGCAUCAAUAUGGAUCAAAUAAUCCAUUGGGUGUACAUUCUGAGAUGGAUAAAAUUGCUUCUUACCCUUAUUUUUAUGUAAAGGAUCUUGUAGGUCGGGUAGCUUCUGCUAUCUUUUUUUGCAUUUGGAUUUUUUUGCUCUGA
RNAcentral lists this ribosomal RNA (204 nucleotides) under Triticum aestivum (bread wheat). RNAcentral's name for it is "partial small subunit ribosomal RNA". Lineage: Eukaryota; Viridiplantae; Streptophyta; Magnoliopsida; Poales; Poaceae. The record is from RNAcentral.